This 232-nucleotide ribosomal RNA is filed under the name uncultured bacterium. RNAcentral describes it as "partial 16S ribosomal RNA". It matches the Rfam family "Bacterial small subunit ribosomal RNA", at positions 524 to 754 of the family's 1533-position model. The record is from RNAcentral.
UACGUAGGGUGCAAGCGUUGUCCGGAAUUAUUGGGCGUAAAGGGCUCGUAGGCGGUUUGUCGCGUCGGGGAGUGAAAACCUACAGCUUAACUGUGGGCUUGCUUUCGAUACGGGCAGACUUGAGGCAUGCAGGGGAGAGCGGAAUUCCUGGUGUAGCGGUGAAAUGCGCAGAUAUCAGGAGGGAACACCGGUGGCGAAGGCGGGACUCUGGGCCGAUACUGACGCUGGAGGC